CUUGUCAUGGUGUUGGAUGGCCACAUUGCUGUGGUGGUGGGGGAAGCAUUGCCAAUUGCUCAAAUGCCUGCAUUAGGCGAUUGAGUUGCUCCAUCAUCUCUUCUUGACGCUGCUAAAGCCCCAUGAUCUGAGCUUAUUCCAGACUCAUGCCACUAGGAAUAACAGGGGCCUCGUCUCCUCCAGACAUGAUUUGGAUGCCAAACACUCCCUCAGGCUCUGAUACCAAAUGAUGUGCCCAGGUCUGAAUAACUAUCUCAUGUAGGUAAGGAUAAAGGUUGGAGUGCAAGAAAUUUAAAAAAAACAACACUCAAGAAAAGGAGAACGUGAGUGAUAAGUUCUAGGGUUUGUAACUCAUCACUAAUACACAAGGGUUAGAUGAGAGAAUUCAGCAACACUCAUUUUUAUUCAUUGAAGUCUGAAUAAAAUACAUAGAUCGCCUCUCUUUAUAUAGAUAUGAGAGGGAACAUAAGGCAAAUUCAAUAAAUGGAAGGGAAUAACAGAAUUUUACUAUUAUGAAAAUGAUGGUGGCUGUAUCUUGCUAAUAUGAAAAUGAUGGUGGCUGCAUCUUGCUACAAAAAAAAUGAUGGUGGUUGCAUCUUGCUAUUAAGAAAAUCAUAGUGGCUGCAUUUUACUAUUAAGGAAAUGAUAAUGGCUGUAUCUUGCUAUUAAGAAAAUUAUGGUGGCUGCAUCUUGCUACAAAGAAAAUGAUGGUGGCUGCUAAAUGAUGGAUUAGAGAAGAACAAAACAACCUUCUAGACUCAAUCCUUUCCUAAGCAAUAGCUUCCUUCAAUUGCUGUCAAGUCGGAUUCGCACCAACAUCAUGUUUCUACGCAAGCGAGCAAAGUCAUCAAUUUGGCUCUUGCUUGUGUAAUUGGAUCCAUGUAUGGUAUCUGAUCAUCUCUUUCUUCAUGAUGGUGCACACCAUUAUACCCUUGGGAUCAUGUGCAUCUUGAAGUUGAAAAACUAGCAUGGACGAGACCAUGAGCUGUCCAGCAUAGUGCCUCUUAGAGGAUUUCUAUUACUAGCUGUGAAGGGGAGAAUGCUUAUUUCUCUAAUUUAGGUUCUUGAUACAAGAAAAUUGAAAAGGUCACUUAUCCGUCUCAUGAAUCAUGACCCUAGGUAUUGUAAUCUACUCCUUAAACACUUGGGUGAGCAAUUCUAGUAAUUUUGCAUGUACCAUCACUCUAAGAGACGGUCUCUCAGAUGAUUGAUGUGGACAGUCAGAGAAUCAAUAGAUAAUUGCAUUGGAACGUAUGAAAUGCUUGCUUAUUAUAAUUGAAUGAAGAUUUUACACUAAGUUCCAUCUGAAUUUUAUGUUUGAGAAAAGGGAGGAAGACCAAUCUGUACUAUAAUUACCCAAGCCAAAUACUUGGGGUUGCACCACCUAAGACUGAAACCUAGAACCUCUAGUUGCCAAGCAAAGGGGUGCGACUGUUGGGGCAAAACCCAGCUCAAGUUCCAUCAAAAUUUUAUUAGCAACUUUUGACUUUUUUGCUUCCAAGUUUCAGAUCCAGUUACAUGUUAUACAAGUAGUCGAGCAGGGUUACCAUCUAGUUAUCUCUUUCUAAGGAUCUCAUGUGGGUUAGUAACUUUUGUUGAUCAAAGACACAGCUUUGAGAAACAUAAAUGGCCAUAUGUUAUUCCUAUUACAUGGUUUCUGGCUAAGAACUAUACAUACAGUUAGGAUUCGGUGUGGUUCAAUCGUUCAAGACUUUAAAGUUGCUCAAUAGACCAAGUGGCAACACUUCCAUAACAGAAGGCGUGGUUCGCCAAACUAGCUUGAACAGAGCGAUUCUGGAUGUGCUGAACUGUACCGAUGGCUAACCGAUGUGGUUUAGUCGUUGGAUUCAGAAUGUCGGCAAAAACGAAGUAAGGAAGAAGGAAAGAGAGAAGGGGAGGGAAGGGGAGAAGAAGACCGACGGUGGCCCACCGAGGCCAUCGGAGGGCUGCCAAACUCCGGGUCUCUACGGUCCUCCACAAGAGGCUGAGAAGAAAGAGAGAUAGAGAGAGGGGGGGAA
Molecule: long non-coding RNA, 2018 nt
Filed under: Elaeis guineensis (African oil palm)
Lineage: Eukaryota; Viridiplantae; Streptophyta; Magnoliopsida; Arecales; Arecaceae
Description: long non-coding RNA (EGUI_LNC028874)
Source: RNAcentral